CCCCAUCCAUUUUCAAAUCUUUAAUUCCUAUCUGUUGCAUUUAUUUAUUCUUCUCCUGUUUCCAAGCCUGCCUUUCUCGAUAUUUUCUUUCAACACCGCCCCUCUCCCCAAUCCUAUGGCUCCCAAUAGCCUUUCCAAACCUCCCCCUCCCCAUAUUCAAUGAAUGUAUUAACAUUCUCUUCCCAAUUCAAUUUCAAUUUCAUCCCGUUUCUUCCCAAAAAUCUUCAGCAUUUCUUCUUCAUACCGUUUCUUUCCUAACCUUCUCCUACGCCGCAGCGUUCAUUUCUUCUCAGACGCGUUUUAUCUUCCCUAAUCUCCAUCCUGGCUGCACCGCAAUCUACUCGAAGCCAUUUCUUCGUUUCUUCCGCCGUUUAUUUCCAAGAACGCUUCAGGUUUUGUUAAUCGAUGUGGGUUCUCCGUCGCUGGCGGAGCCCCCUACGAGCUCUGAUCCCGCAGAUCUCUAAUGCAAAGAUUAUGAUUAUUGAUCCAAAGCCCGGAGCUGUGGAAACUAAGAUUAUAAUUUCUGGAACCCCAUAGCAAAUCAUGCUGCACAAAGUCUUAUUCAUGCGUUUAACAUGAGUGAGAGGGAUUCAGGUUGAACUCUUAAUUUUGGAAAUCGAUAGUAUUUAUUAAGAGUAUGAACACCAAAGAGAAUGGAGCAGCCGCAAGAUAAAACUAUCAAGUUGCAGGGAACUUAACAUGGUAAGUUCUCAUACUCUACAUGGUUUAAUUUUUUUCAUAACCAUUAUCAAGGCACCAUUUUGAUGUGAAGUGAAAUUUUGAAUAUAACUCUUGGCUUUCAGACUGUGAAGAGAACAAUUAAGUUUCAGUGUUAUCACCUAAGAUAAAUUAAAAGAUUGUUUUUCUUCAUUCCCUGUGGUGUUUCUGAUUUGUUCUUUUGUGUUGUAAUGUCUCUUAUUGUAUUUGUGUUACUAACUACACUGCUUUUAUCAUUUGUUAUUUCUCCUACUAUUGUUUAUUUUUUCAAUAUCUUAAUGAAACAGCAAGGAUUAUAUUUAAAUACUAAUUUAGUGAGACAGGUUUGAUAGUAUAUCUCUAAAGUCAGACCCUGAGGCACAAAUCAAGGCAGUAGUUGAGCCCAAACUGGGUGCUAAACAAUGCAUUACUGCUAGGUUUUUUUACGAUGAUAAUAGGUUAGCAUGAUACUUUAGACUUUAGCCAUCACAACGAUUUUGUGAGUCUAAAUCAAAAUGAAGCUGCACCUGUAUAUUUAAACAAUUUUACAUCAUUUACCAAUUAAUUGGUUUGCAAAAAUUUUAAGGUGGCUUUUUGACUAUAAUACUUCUGUGGAUCAUAUUACCUUUAUAUUGGACAGCAGCUCUUGCAUUUUUUGUGUGCUACUAGAUGAUUGGAACAAGUGAAUUGUAUUGAGAAAAAAAUCCAGGUUUAUAAUUGAAUCUCAUUUAUUAAGUGAUCUUGAAAAUGAAUGCUUCUCAAACUAGGUCACUCUCGAUUGUUGUGCUUGGUGCUGGGGAUCUAUCUAAUAAGAAGAUAACCUUUAUGAAUUAGUAAUCCUGUGUUUGUGUUACUUAAAGAUAACCUUUGUGAAUCAUGUUAUUAGUGCCAGAACUUGAACAGUCAUGAGUUAUUUGCUUUUUCUAUCAAAGGCUUUUUUGUAAAUUUUCCUUUGUUUUCUUAAAAUGGUUUCUUAUUGGCUCUUCAUCUGGUGGAAACUUAACCAGAAUUUCCUGGUCUGUCCCGAUGUCCAAUACUAGAAUGAUUGACUGUGCUGAUUUGGUGGGCAUUUCUUCGUAGUCUUCUGGAGGGUUAAUGGGGAACUUUCGGUGGGGGCUGAUAAAUAUAUAUUGAAACAGCAAGGGUUGCAUUAAGUAGUAGAUACCAUCAAACAAAUUUAAUAUUUUUCGUUUGAAUUCUAGGAUUGAUUUUUCUUUCCAUUUGAAUUCAAAUUCUUGCACCAUCUCUGGCGAGGUUGAGGGUGGACAAAGAAGCAAGGUUGAUGACUCAUUUGGAUAGGUUAAUGUGAUCAUAUUUUUAAUUGUACUCAGUACUCACGAUAAAUCAAGGUUUAAACACUUUUCAACUGCCCCUAAGGAUUUAGAGUGUCUAUUUUAAUUUGUCAUUUUUUUGGCUUAUGGAAAGCUGAAGGGUGAAUCUUCAUCUCCGAUUAUAGAGGAGUUUUCCCUGAGGAAUAGCUUGGAUCAACUAGACAUCAUUUUGCUAAUUUAUUAUCAAUUUUGUAUAUCAUUCAUUGCAACACUGUGUAGAACCUCAAAUCCUUUUUAUAAUGGAGUUGUUCUUAUUUGAUGGUUUAUUCAAUUGAAUACCAUUGCAUGAUUUAAUCUA
Long non-coding RNA from Lotus japonicus, 2325 nucleotides. RefSeq lists it as uncharacterized. Lineage: Eukaryota; Viridiplantae; Streptophyta; Magnoliopsida; Fabales; Fabaceae. The transcript is spliced from 3 exons. The record is from RefSeq and is a predicted model, not a curated record.